GAUGAACGCUGGCGGCGUGCCUAAUACAUGCAAGUCGAGCGAACGGACGAGAAGCUUGCUUCUCUGAUGUUAGCGGCGGACGGGUGAGUAGCACGUGGAUAACCUACCUAUAAGACUGGGAUAACUUCGGGAAACCGGAGCUAAUACCGGAUAAUAUUUUGAACCGCAUGGUUCAAAAGUAAAAGACGGUCUUGCUGUCACUUAUAGAUGGAUCCGCGCUGCAUUAGCUAGUUGGUAAGGUAACGGCUUACCAAGGCAACGAUGCAUAGCCGACCUGAGAGGGUGAUCGGCCACACUGGAACUGAGACACGGUCCAGACUCCUACGGGAGGCAGCAGUAGGGAAUCUUCCGCAAUGGGCGAAAGCCUGACGGAGCAACGCCGCGUGAGUGAUGAAGGUCUUCGGAUCGUAAAACUCUGUUAUUAGGGAAGAACAUAUGUGUAAGUAACUGUGCACAUCUUGACGGUACCUAAUCAGAAAGCCACGGCUAACUACGUG
RNAcentral lists this ribosomal RNA (497 nucleotides) under uncultured bacterium. RNAcentral describes it as "partial 16S ribosomal RNA". It matches the Rfam family "Bacterial small subunit ribosomal RNA", at positions 28 to 507 of the family's 1533-position model. The record is from RNAcentral.